GGUUAAGCGACUAAGCGUACACGGUGGAUGCCCGGCAGUCAGAGGCGAUGAAGGACGUGCUAAUCUGCGAAAAGCGUCGGUAAGGUGAUAUGAACCGUUACAGCCGGCGAUGUCCGAAUGGGAAACCCAGUGCAAUUCGUUGCACUAUCGUUAACUGAAUACAUAGGUUAACGAGGCGAACCGGGGAACUGAAACAUCUAAGUACCCCGAGGAAAAAAAUCAACCGAGAUUCCCCAGUAGCGGCGAGCGAACGGGGAGCAGCCCAGAGUCUGAAUCAGCUUGUGUGUUAGUGGAACGGUCUGGAAAGUCCGACGGUACAGGGUGAUAGUCCCGUACACCAAAAUGCACAGGCUGUGAACUCGAAGAGUAGGGCGGGACACGUGGUAUCCUGUCUGAAUAUGGGGGACCAUCCUCCAAGGCUAAAUACUCCUGACUGACCGAUAGUGAACCAGUACCGUGAGGGAAAGGCGAAAAGAACCCCGGCGAGGGGUGAAAAAGAACCUGAAACCGUGUACGUACAAGCAGUGGGAGCACCUUCGGGUGUGACUGCGUACCUUUUGUAUAAUGGGUCAGCGACUUAUAUUCUGUAGCAAGGUUAACCGUAUAGGGGAGCCGCAGGGAAACCGAGUCUUAACUGGGCGUUAAGUUGCAGGGUAUAGACCCGAAACCCGGUGAUCUAGCCAUGGGCAGGUUGAAGGUUGGGUAACACUAACUGGAGGACCGAACCGACUAAUGUUGAAAAAUUAGCGGAUGACUUGUGGCUGGGGGUGAAAGGCCAAUCAAACCGGGAGAUAGCUGGUUCUCCCCGAAAGCUAUUUAGGUAGCGCCUCGUGAAUUCAUCUUCGGGGUAGAGCACUGUUUCGGCUAGGGGUCAUCCCGACUUACCAACCCGAUGCAAACUACGAAUACCGAAGAAUGUUAUCACGGGAGACACACGGCGGGUGCUAACGUCCGUCGUGAAGAGGGAAACAACCCAGACCGCCAGCUAAGGUCCCAAAGUCAUGGUUAAGUGGGAAACGAUGUGGGAAGGCACAGACAGCAGGAUGUUGGCUUAGAAGCAGCCAUCAUUUAAAGAAAGCGUAAUAGCUCACUGGUCGAGUCGGCCUGCGCGGAAGAUGUAACGGGGCUAAACCAUGCACCGAAGCUGCGGCAGCGACACUAUGUGUUGUUGGGUAGGGGAGCGUUCUGUAAGCCUGCGAAGGUGACCUGUGAGGGUUGCUGGAGGUAUCAGAAGUGCGAAUGCUGACAUAAGUAACGAUAAAGCGGGUGAAAAGCCCGCUCGCCGGAAGACCAAGGGUUCCUGUCCAACGUUAAUCGGGGCAGGGUGAGUCGACCCCUAAGGCGAGGCCGAAAGGCGUAGUCGAUGGGAAACAGGUUAAUAUUCCUGUACUUGGUGUUACUGCGAAGGGGGACGGAGAAGGCUAUGUUAGCCGGGCGACGGUUGUCCCGGUUUAAGCAUGUAGGCUGGUUAUCGAGGCAAAUCCGGAUAAUCAAGGCUGAGGUGUGAUGACGAGGCACUACGGUGCUGAAGUAACAAAUGCCCUGCUUCCAGGAAAAGCCUCUAAGCAUCAGGUAACAUCAAAUCGUACCCCAAACCGACACAGGUGGUCAGGUAGAGAAUACCAAGGCGCUUGAGAGAACUCGGGUGAAGGAACUAGGCAAAAUGGUGCCGUAACUUCGGGAGAAGGCACGCUGGUGUGUAGGUGAAGUCCCUGCGGAUGGAGCUGAGACCAGUCGAAGAUACCAGCUGGCUGCAACUGUUUAUUAAAAACACAGCACUGUGCAAACACGAAAGUGGACGUAUACGGUGUGACGCCUGCCCGGUGCCGGAAGGUUAAUUGAUGGGGUUAUCCGUAAGGAGAAGCUCUUGAUCGAAGCCCCGGUAAACGGCGGCCGUAACUAUAACGGUCCUAAGGUAGCGAAAUUCCUUGUCGGGUAAGUUCCGACCUGCACGAAUGGCGUAAUGAUGGCCGGGCUGUCUCCACCCGAGACUCAGUGAAAUUGAACUCGCUGUGAAGAUGCAGUGUACCCGCGGCAAGACGGAAAGACCCCGUGAACCUUUACUAUAGCUUGACACUGAACAUUGAGCCUUGAUGUGUAGGAUAGGUGGGAGGCUUUGAAGCGUGGACGCCAGUCUGCGUGGAGCCAACCUUGAAAUACCACCCUUUAAUGUUUGAUGUUCUAACGUUGGCCCCUGACCGGGGUUGCGGACAGUGUCUGGUGGGUAGUUUGACUGGGGCGGUCUCCUCCCAAAGCGUAACGGAGGAGCACGAAGGUUAGCUAAUCUGGUCGGACAUCAGGAGGUUAGUGCAAUGGCAUAAGCUAGCUUGACUGCGAGCGUGACGGCGCGAGCAGGUGCGAAAGCAGGUCAUAGUGAUCCGGUGGUUCUGAAUGGAAGGGCCAUCGCUCAACGGAUAAAAGGUACUCCGGGGAUAACAGGCUGAUACCGCCCAAGAGUUCAUAUCGACGGCGGUGUUUGGCACCUCGAUGUCGGCUCAUCACAUCCUCACGGGGCUGAAGUAGGUCCCAAGGGUAUGGCUGUUCGCCAUUUAAAGUGGUACGCGAGCUGGGUUUAGAACGUCGUGAGACAGUUCGGUCCCUAUCUGCCGUGGGCGCUGGAGAAUUGAGGGGGCUGCUCCUAGUACGAGAGGACCGGAGUGGACGCAUCACUGGUGUUCGGGUUGUCAUGCCAAUGGCACUGCCCGGUAGCUAAAUGCGGAAGAGAUAAGUGCUGAAAGCAUCUAAGCACGAAACUUGCCCCGAGAUGAGUUCUCCCUGAGACUUUAAGUCUCCUGAAGGAACGUUAAAGACGAUGACGUUGAUAGGCCGGGUGUGUAAGCGCAGCGAUGCGUUGAGCUAACCGGUACUAAUGAACCGUGAGGCUUAACCUU
RNAcentral lists this ribosomal RNA (2891 nucleotides) under Klebsiella pneumoniae. Its description in RNAcentral is "23S ribosomal RNA". It matches the Rfam family "Bacterial large subunit ribosomal RNA". The record is from RNAcentral. Lineage: Bacteria; Pseudomonadati; Pseudomonadota; Gammaproteobacteria; Enterobacterales; Enterobacteriaceae.